RNAcentral lists this transfer RNA (58 nucleotides) under Parantica sita. Its description in RNAcentral is "tRNA-Glu". The record is from RNAcentral. Lineage: Eukaryota; Metazoa; Arthropoda; Insecta; Lepidoptera; Nymphalidae.
GUUUAAAAAACAUUACACCUUCAUUGUAAAAAAAAUAAAUAAAAUUUAUUUAUAAAUA